Molecule: ribosomal RNA, 428 nt
Filed under: Bacteroidota bacterium
Lineage: Bacteria; Pseudomonadati; Bacteroidota
Description: Bacteroidetes bacterium partial 16S ribosomal RNA
Rfam family: Bacterial small subunit ribosomal RNA
Source: RNAcentral
UAGGGAAUCUUCCGCAAUGGGCGAAAGCCUGACGGAGCAACGCCGCGUGAGUGAUGAAGGUCUUCGGAUCGUAAAACUCUGUUAUUAGGGAAGAACAAAUGUGUAAGUAACUAUGCACAUCUUGACGGUACCUAAUCAGAAAGCCACGGCUAACUACGUGCCAGCAGCCGCGGUAAUACGUAGGUCCCGAGCGUUGUCCGGAUUUAUUGGGCGUAAAGCGAGCGCAGGCGGUUAGAAAAGUCUGAAGUGAAAGGCAGUGGCUCAACCAUUGUAGGCUUUGGAAACUGUUUAACUUGAGUGCAGAAGGGGAGAGUGGAAUUCCAUGUGUAGCGGUGAAAUGCGUAGAUAUAUGGUGGAACACCAGUGGCGAAGGCGACUCUCUGGUCUGUAACUGACGCUGAGGCUCGAAAGCGUGGGUAGCAAACAGG